AGAUUAAGUUAUUAAGGGCGCACGGUGGAUGCCUUGGCACUAGAAGCCGAUGAAGGACGUUACUAACGACGAUAUGCUUUGGGUAGCUGUAAGUAAGCAUUGAUCCAGAGAUUUCCGAAUGGGGAAACCCAGCACAAGUUAUGUUGUGUUAUCGACAUGUGAAUACAUAGCAUGUUAGAAGGCAGACCCGGAGAACUGAAACAUCUUAGUACCCGGAGGAAGAGAAAGAAAAAUCGAUUCCCUGAGUAGCGGCGAGCGAAACGGGAAAAGCCCAAACCAAUAAGCUUGCUUAUUGGGGUUGUAGGACACUCUAUACGGAGUUACAAAGGAAUAUAUUAGACGAAUCAUCUGGAAAGAUGAAUCAAAGAAGGUAAUAAUCCUGUAGUUGAAAAUAUAUUCUCUCUUGAGUGGAUCCUGAGUACGACGGAGCACGUGAAAUUCCGUCGGAAUCUGGGAGGACCAUCUCCUAAGGCUAAAUACUCUCUAGUGACCGAUAGUGAACCAGUACCGUGAGGGAAAGGUGAAAAGUACCCCGGAAGGGGAGUGAAAGAGAACUUGAAACCGUGUGCUUACAAGUAGUCAGAGCCCGUUAAUGGGUGAUGGCGUGCCUUUUGUAGAAUGAACCGGCGAGUUACGAUUUGAUGCAAGGUUAAGCAGGAAAUGUGGAGCCGUAGCGAAAGCGAGUCUGAAUAGGGCGUUGAGUAUUUGGUCGUAGACCCGAAACCAGGUGAUCUACCCUUGGUCAGGUUGAAGUUCAGGUAACACUGAAUGGAGGACCGAACCGACUUACGUUGAAAAGUGAGCGGAUGAACUGAGGGUAGCGGAGAAAUUCCAAUCGAACUUGGAGAUAGCUGGUUCUCUCCGAAAUAGCUUUAGGGCUAGCCUCAAGUGAUGAUUAUUGGAGGUAGAGCACUGUUUGGACGAGGGGCCCCUCUCGGGUUACCGAAUUCAGACAAACUCCGAAUGCCAAUUAAUUUAACUUGGGAGUCAGAACAUGGGUGAUAAGGUCCGUGUUCGAAAGGGAAACAGCCCAGACCACCAGCUAAGGUCCCAAAAUAUAUGUUAAGUGGAAAAGGAUGUGGCGUUGCCCAGACAACUAGGAUGUUGGCUUAGAAGCAGCCAUCAUUUAAAGAGUGCGUAAUAGCUCACUAGUCGAGUGACACUGCGCCGAAAAUGUACCGGGGCUAAACAUAUUACCGAAGCUGUGGAUUGUCCUUUGGACAAUGGUAGGAGAGCGUUCUAAGGGCGUUGAAGCAUGAUCGCAAGGACAUGUGGAGCGCUUAGAAGUGAGAAUGCCGGUGUGAGUAGCGAAAGACGGGUGAGAAUCCCGUCCACCGAUUGACUAAGGUUUCCAGAGGAAGGCUCGUCCGCUCUGGGUUAGUCGGGUCCUAAGCUGAGGCCGACAGGCGUAGGCGAUGGAUAACAGGUUGAUAUUCCUGUACCACCUAGUAUCGUUUUAAUCGAUGGGGGGACGCAGUAGGAUAGGCGAAGCGUACGAUUGGAUUGUACGUCUAAGCAGUGAGACUGAGUGUUAGGCAAAUCCGGCACUCAUAAGGUCAAGCUGUGAUGGGGAGAGGAAAUUGUUUCCUCGAGUCGUUGAUUUCACACUGCCAAGAAAAGCCUCUAGAUAGAUAACAGGUGCCCGUACCGCAAACCGACACAGGUAGUCAAGAUGAGAAUUCUAAGGUGAGCGAGCGAACUCUCGUUAAGGAACUCGGCAAAAUGACCCCGUAACUUCGGGAGAAGGGGUGCUCUUUAGGGUGCAAGCCCAGAAGAGCCGCAGUGAAUAGGCCCAAGCGACUGUUUAUCAAAAACACAGGUCUCUGCUAAACCGUAAGGUGAUGUAUAGGGGCUGACGCCUGCCCGGUGCUGGAAGGUUAAGAGGAGUGGUUAGCUUCUGCGAAGCUACGAAUCGAAGCCCCAGUAAACGGCGGCCGUAACUAUAACGGUCCUAAGGUAGCGAAAUUCCUUGUCGGGUAAGUUCCGACCCGCACGAAAGGCGUAACGAUUUGGGCACUGUCUCAACGAGAGACUCGGUGAAAUCAUAGUACCUGUGAAGAUGCAGGUUACCCGCGACAGGACGGAAAGACCCCGUGGAGCUUUACUGUAGCCUGAUAUUGAAAUUCGGCACAGCUUGUACAGGAUAGGUAGGAGCCAUUGAAACGUGAGCGCUAGCUUACGUGGAGGCGCUGGUGGGAUACUACCCUAGCUGUGUUGGCUUUCUAACCCGCACCACUUAUCGUGGUGGGAGACAGUGUCAGGCGGGCAGUUUGACUGGGGCGGUCGCCUCCUAAAAGGUAACGGAGGCGCUCAAAGG
Molecule: ribosomal RNA, 2317 nt
Filed under: Staphylococcus sp. HMSC070D07
Lineage: Bacteria; Bacillati; Bacillota; Bacilli; Caryophanales; Staphylococcaceae
Description: bacterial LSU rRNA
Rfam family: Bacterial large subunit ribosomal RNA
Source: RNAcentral